UCUUUCCACCCACUGGCGAGUGUGAGCUUACAUGUGCAAGGGAUGAGAGUCAGAGGCCUGUCUUUACAGAACCUUGCUAAAGACAUUUCCUGUCCCCUUUAUCUGCCUGAAAACCUGCCCUGUUCGCACCCACCUCUAAGGAGCUCAAGUAAGAGAUGCCUCAACUUACCCACCUAUCUUUAUUUGGGAGGCAAGUGCCAUAGCUAAGAGGGAGAAACUGCCAGUCACCAUGGUAACUUCAUGGCAGAGCUAAGAGUAGAACCCAGGAGUCCUAGUAUCCAGUCUGGCUUUUGAACCAUGUGAUUACAUACUCUCCUUAGUUCAUUUUGUGCAUUACUUUUCAGCUGGGAUUAAAACUGCUUUUUGAGGAAGGCUGCAUGGUUACCAUUAUUCAAGGUCCAGAAAGACAUCCCACUUGAUAAUCACCUCAGCUGUAAGGGUGGCAGAAUUCCUUAGCCAUAGGGGCCUGUCUUAAAACCACUGCAUGCCCCAAAAAGGGCCAUGUUAACGACCCUUCUGAUAAAGUGAGAAAAUCUGUGUUUGUCAAGGUGAAAUAAUAUGAAGCUGCCUUAUGUUUCUUGGCGUUACAAUUUUCGUCUCUGAUUUAAUUGCUCAUCCAGCUUGGGAACCUUCUCUACAGCCUGAGAUGGAAACAGAGUCAACUAUCCCAAUUUGGCAGAACAAACCCCAUGGCUCAUCACGCAGUGUUGUCAGGAGGAUUGGGACAAACCUUCCUUUAAAACCCUGUCCUAGAGCAUCCUUUGAGGUUCUACCAAACAUUUCAGAUCUGUAUCUAAAUGAUGCACCUCCAGUCCCCACUCUGGCAGAUAUUGCAUGGAUAGCAGCAGAUGAAGAAGAAACAUAUGCUAGAGUCAGGAGUGACACACGUCCAUUGAAGCACAAAUGGAAGCCCAGCCCGUUCUUUGUUAUACAGCGAAAUGCUUCAGUCCCCAACUUGAGAAAGCAGGAAGAGAAGCUGCUGGUCUUAAAGAAACCUGGUUUACCGGCCCUCAGUCGGACGACGGAGCUUCAAGAUGAGCUGAGCCUCCUGCGGAGUCAAAUAGCUAAAAUUGUAGCUGCAGAGCCAGCUUCCGCUUCAUUAACGCCAGAUUUAUUAUCUCCAGGAAGUUCAAAUGUAUCUUCUCCCUUACCUUGUUUUGGAUCCUCAUUCCAAUCUACAACUUCCUUUGUCAUUAGUGAUAUCACAGAGGAGGCAGAAUUAGAAAUCCCGGAGCUUCCAUCAGUUUCCAUGCUUUGUUCUGCAACCUCUGAAUGUUGUAAACCAGAUCCAAAGGAUGCUGACGAGGAAGAUUCUGUGUCUCUUUCGAAGGCCAGCAGUUUUGCGGACAUGAUGGGCAUACUUAAAGACAUUCAUAGGAUGAAACAGAACAAAGAUUUGUGGAGAUGCCAUUUACACCUAACAAGAUGAUUAAAUCCGUGCUUCUCUGAUGCUCCUGUUUAGGAAUUGGUGUUAAAACCCACAGCCUGGAAGCUUCAGGAAUGAGCAUGAGACACAUUUGCAUGUUUCCACCAUUAAAAUCAGAAUAGAGCCCUUGUAAUAUCUGCUGCCUUUUGGAAAGGAAUUGUCUGUGUAGUGUUCCAGCUGAUCCGUUCAUUCAGUGUGUGGUUAAAAACAUUUAGCGUGAGGAUCUGCUUUGAAUGAACCGAACUUUAUUGAAAGAGGAAGACCCGGCUGUUCUUAUAUCAGAAGUGUUAAGAAGAAAAUUUGCUCUAAAGGAUGAAGAUGUAACCAUGAAAGAGAACUGACAUUACACUUUCAUUUAAAUCUGUAAGCAAGUGUAUCGUGCUCCUGAGAUUUUUCUCCACAGUAGCUGCCUUCCUAAGGAUCAAACUUUCUUGCCUCUUUACUAAUUAGAAAUUAUUUCUGCACUGGAAACUUAUUCAAGAAAGCAACUGUGGAUUUGCAGUGUUUUCCAUGUCUCUAAAUAUAUAAAAACUUUCUAAGAAAGGAAAUUUUUCCACAUAUUUUGAAGCAUUACUGGUAACAGUGUCUUCUACAGAGUGAUGCGAGUGUUGCUAAAUGAAGUUCUCUUCCUAUCUGUGUUUUCCCCAAGGUGACUUUAACUUGAAUCAUUCAUUUGGCUCAUGAUGGUCUUGUUGCAAUAUGACUAGCUACUAAUUUAUAAUAUAAAUGGACAUAAAGCAUCUAAUUCUUUCUCUGAUCAGGGGAAGUCGGGUGCAAAGCUAUCAAUAAGAGUAAAUUGCUUCUUCCUUCCAGGCUGUCAGUUUUUAGGAAGUUCUGAUUGUAUUGAGGAUGGUUUAAGAGCUUGCGUUAUUAUCUCAAAAAAGGAUUCCCUUUCCCUAAAGUUUCUUCCAAUUACUUUCCUGUCCCAUUUAGGACAAGAAAAAUUAAAGUGAAUUAUCAGACCAUUUAACCACACUCAAUUUGCUAGACUGGUGUUGGCUGGUGAGUGACUUUUUAAAAUAGUUUGUAUGUUUGAAAGAUCAAAAUAUGCCCCAAGUCACAUUACACGACACUUAUAUCCUGCCCUAAGGUAACUUGUCAAGAAUUCCAUGUAUUUCAUUAAAAUGAUCUC
This is an RNA transcript of Mauremys mutica (yellowpond turtle), 2558 nucleotides long. It is a transcript of the gene named mitochondrial fission regulator 1 like, with no coding region annotated. The transcript is spliced from 8 exons. NCBI's taxonomy places the organism in Eukaryota, Metazoa, Chordata, Testudines, Geoemydidae. The record is from RefSeq and is a predicted model, not a curated record.